AGGCAGCAGUGGGGAAUAUUGCACAAUGGGCGCAAGCCUGAUGCAGCCAUGCCGCGUGUAUGAAGAAGGCCUUCGGGUUGUAAAGUACUUUCAGCAGUGAGGAAGGCGGAGUCGUUAAUAGCGGCCUCGUUUGACGUUAGCUGCAGAAGAAGCACCGGCUAACUCCGUGCCAGCAGCCGCGGUAAUACGGAGGGUGCGAGCGUUAAUCGGAAUUACUGGGCGUAAAGCGCAUGCAGGUGGUUUGUUAAGUCAGAUGUGAAAGCCCGGGGCUCAACCUCGGAAUUGCAUUUGAAACUGGCAGACUAGAGUACUGUAGAGGGGGUAGAAUUUCAGGUGUAGCGGUGAAAUGCGUAGAGAUCUGAAGGAAUACCGGUGGCGAAGGCGGCCCCCUGGACAGAUACUGACACUCAGAUGCGAAAGCGUGGGGAGCAAACAGGAUUAGAUACCCUGGUAG
RNAcentral lists this ribosomal RNA (454 nucleotides) under uncultured bacterium. RNAcentral describes it as "bacterial SSU rRNA". It matches the Rfam family "Bacterial small subunit ribosomal RNA", at positions 346 to 793 of the family's 1533-position model. The record is from RNAcentral.